Molecule: transfer RNA, 76 nt
Filed under: Planctomycetota bacterium
Lineage: Bacteria; Pseudomonadati; Planctomycetota
Description: Planctomycetes bacterium (soil metagenome) tRNA-Thr
Rfam family: tRNA
About the family: Transfer RNA (tRNA) molecules are approximately 80 nucleotides in length. Their secondary structure includes four short double-helical elements and three loops (D, anti-codon, and T loops).
Source: RNAcentral
GCCACCUUAGCUCAGUCGGUAGAGCUACUGUUUUGUAAACAGUGGGUCGCCGGUUCGAGUCCGGCAGGUGGCUCCA